AGGGCGGCACUUGAUUUUGUCCAUCAGGAGUUGAUUAAAUCAUUGGAUUGUUGUUGUUUGCUAAUUGCCAAAAAAUUAAUAUU
Sinocyclocheilus grahami is the source of this 83-nucleotide long non-coding RNA. RefSeq lists it as uncharacterized. The record is from RefSeq and is a predicted model, not a curated record. The transcript is spliced from 3 exons. NCBI's taxonomy places the organism in Eukaryota, Metazoa, Chordata, Actinopteri, Cypriniformes, Cyprinidae.